This 334-nucleotide long non-coding RNA is filed under the name Equus caballus (horse). Its description in RNAcentral is "lncRNA (ENSECAG00000055958.1)". The record is from RNAcentral. Lineage: Eukaryota; Metazoa; Chordata; Mammalia; Perissodactyla; Equidae.
UUUAUUCUUCACAUACUUAUGUGUCAUCUACUGUAUCCUGAGCUGCUGGGGUAAAGAGAAAGAAUUCCUGUCUUCAAGGAAAAUCAGACAAGCUGUUGGGGAGUGCAUUAUACACACAAAGAAAUCAAGAUGUUGUGAUAUGUGCUACAAGGAAGCACCUAGAACUCAGAAAAUUACUACCUGUUCAAUAUUAAGUUGGAGAGCAAGGGCUGGAAUCCAGGUCUCUCCGAUCCAAGGUUCCACGUUCUUCCUACCAGGUCCUGGAUCCUACAUGGAAUUGAAUCAUCCUCCAUCAUAAUUACCGGAAGCAUUUGAAGCAGCUGUUGCCUCCUCC